ACUGUCCUGAUCUCACGGCCGGCAGCCUGGAGCCCCUCACCAGGUGCCCUGAGCUGCGGGGUCUCACCCUGUCCGGCGGCGUCCCUGACACCGUGAGCCUGGAGCCCCUCACCAGGUGCCGUGGGCUGCAGUAUCUCACCCUGUCCGGCGGUGACCCUGACGCCGUGCUAGACAGUCUCAGCGGCUGCCCCGGGCUGAAGUACCUUACACUGGGGGACCGCCAGCGGCCGGCAGAGACGGCCUUCACAGCAGCAGGGGUCAGCAGACUGGUCAAGUCGUGUCGGACGCUGCUUGGUCUGGCCCUUCGCUGCACGGCAGACACCGGCCGGGCCGUGCUGACCGCCCUGAAGGAGGCGGACCUGGGCCGGCGAAGUUAUGUCUGGCCCCGUACCAUCGAUCUCAUUGUCCCCGAGGAGCUGUUCCGUCAGCUGAAGAGACAGGAAGGCGAUGGGGUCAGAGUGUGGAAGUGGCCGGACUGAUGCGCUACUACCGCCCGUGCAGUGAUGAGCUGACUGCAGAGAGGCCGAGCCAGUCGGCCGGGGCCGCCAGCUGACUGCUGCCGUGUGUGCUGCACCAGCCGGCACUGAGAGCGGCGCCGGUCAGCCGGCACACGGCCCCGGUGUCCGCUCUAGUGUAGUCAUCUAGUUGUAGUAGUUGUAGUGUAGAUGUAGUAGUAGCACACGGAUGUGAUGUAGUGGGUAAUUACAGGGCGGGUAUUGUGGGUAAUUGGACGGUAGAUGUGAUGUAGUGGGUAAUUACCGAGCGGGUAGGUAUUGUGGGUAAUUGGACAGUGAAAAGUGAUGUAGUGGGUAAUUACCGGGCGGGUACUGUGGGUAAUUGGACGGGAGAUGUGAUGUAGUGGGUAAUUACCGGGCGGGUAUUGUGGGUAAUUGGACAGUGAAAAGUGAUGUGCUGGAGAGACUACCGAUCGUGGCAUUACGCUAUUCUGUAUGUAGAACACACGUCUCUGACGGUCCGACUCGGUUCACCGCGCCUGGUCCCGGCGGCACGGCCGGCCUCGGUCACGUGACCGUCCCCCCGGUGGAGUCGGACUGCUCGGUCACGUGACCGCUCCCCCCGGGUCUGGCUGCACCUCGGCUCGGCGGUGCUGAGCGCCGUGCUGAGCGUGUUGUGACACGUCCCACACGGACAGCUCUACUCGACUACUGGCUAGCUGCCGUCCGAGCUGGCAGUAUACACGCGGUGCCAGUUCAGACGGCGGCCGGCCGCGCCGCGCCCGCCCGCUCCGGUCCCGGCCGGCGGCCGUCACCCGGCCCGGGGCGGGGACCGGUCCGUCAGCUGACCAUUGGUCAGUCAGCUGAUUGGUCCGUCAGCUGACCAUUGAUCAGUCAGCUGACCAUUGGUCAGUCAGCUGAUUGGUCCGUCAGCUGAUUGGUCAGUCAGCUGAUUGGUCAGUCAGCUGACCAUUGGUCAGUCAGCUGAUUUGUCAGUCAGAUUGGUCAGUCAGAUGUCUAUUAAAUACAUGAGAGGAGACGCUUCAGCUGUACCAUCUGUAGCUUAGGGCAAUUAGUUACCGGGCGAGUAUUGUGGGUAAUUGGAUGAACUGCUGCGUUGUAGACGUAGUGGGUAAUUACCGGUCGGGUGUUGUGGAUAAUGUAACCCUGGGUAUGCUAUAGCCGGCUAUUCGACGGUCGGAUAUAGUCAGCUGGAUGCUACUGAAUUGUGUAGAGCUCUGACGGCACCGGUCAUAACGAGUGUCCUCGCGUCUGUCCGACUCGGUUCACGGAAGCACGCCGUCACGGCCCGGGUGUGUGCCGCCAUGUUUGGUGUCCUCUGCUUCGUACAGGGGGGUAAUUGGGACUACCGACCGAUUGGGAGUCGGAGUCGGAGUCCGUGUCGAUCAAGCUGCCUUGACUCCGACUCCGGAACGGCUUUUUAGAUUUUAGUUAUCACUUGGCCAUGCUACUGAUAAUCGGCUGCGCUUUGACUAAUACAUUUUACACA
Long non-coding RNA from Amphibalanus amphitrite, 1965 nucleotides. RefSeq lists it as uncharacterized. The transcript is spliced from 3 exons. NCBI's taxonomy places the organism in Eukaryota, Metazoa, Arthropoda, Thecostraca, Balanomorpha, Balanidae. The record is from RefSeq and is a predicted model, not a curated record.